AGGACGAACGCUGGCGGCGUGCUUAACACAUGCAAGUCGAGCGGUAAGGCCUUUCGGGGUACACGAGCGGCGAACGGGUGAGUAACACGUGGGUGAUCUGCCCUGCACUUCGGGAUAGGCCUGGGAAACUGGGUCUAAUACCGGAUAUGACCUCAGGUUGCAUGACUUGGGGUGAAAGAUUUAUCGGUGCAGGAUGGGCCCGCGGCCUAUCAGCUUGUUGGUGGGUAAUGGCCUACCAAGGCGACGACGGGUAGCCGACCUGAGAGGGUGACCGGCCACGACUGGGACUGAGACACGGCCCAGACUCCUACGGGAGGCGGCAGUGGGGAAUAUUGCACAAUGGGCGAAAGCCUGAUGCAGCGACGCCGCGUGAGGGAUGACGGCCUUCGGGUUGUAAACCGUCUUUCAGCAGGACGAAGCGCAAGUGACGUACCUGCAGAAGAAGCACCGGCUAACACGUGCCAGCAGCCGC
Molecule: ribosomal RNA, 472 nt
Filed under: uncultured soil bacterium
Lineage: Bacteria
Description: bacterial SSU rRNA
Rfam family: Bacterial small subunit ribosomal RNA
Source: RNAcentral